GAUGGUGACCUGGGUUGACUUUCGUUUUUUGAAUGUUGAUUUUUACUCCCAUGAAAGCCUCCAAAUAACUUGGAUCCCUUCUCUUGGCAUGAUGUGAGAGUGUAUGAGUUUAUUUCAAUAUUUUAGGGAUUGUUAACAUUAUUUGAAAAUGAAUUAUUCCUCUCUCAGUGCAUUUGUUUUAUUAGAACUUCCUGGAGUUUCCGUAGCACUUACCUUGUUUCCAGUGAAUCUUGAACCGUGGCAUUUCUGAGUAGCACUGUGAUAUUUUGGAUACAGAACUGAAAUGCUAAUCAGUAGAAUUAGGCUGUAGUCCAGAUUUUAUCACUAGUUGAAUUUCCCUUUCCUUAUCUUUUAUAUAAGAUGUUAUGAUGGAAGAUUGCUGAUGUUCCAUCUAGCUUUAGAAUUCAAUAAUUAAGUGAUUUUAUGUUUUAUAAGAUUUCUGCAAGGAAAAAUUGGGGAAGCAGCAUUUUUGAUAAAUGAAAAUUGAAAGUGUGAAUGUGGGCAAGAUCCACAGCCAAUGCAUUGUCUGUGUUUCCAGAAUAGUUCAUAAGAAGAUAAAAUGCGUGAUCCUAACUGCCAUUUCUGCAGAUAUUUGAAGUGACUCCUUAAGGAAAACUUGAGGGAUGAACACUGCAGCACUUGGAAAGAAGCAUUGCUUAAUAAAAGACAGUGGCUUUUUCUGGAACAGGAAAUAAUGUUAGCCCCAAGCUGCCCUCUAUAUGACACAAGUAAAACAAGAGAGAAUAAACUGUCACAUAUCCUAAAGUCUAGAAAAGUAAAAGAUGUUGAGAGUAGGCAAAAAUCUCAGAAUUUUCAGUACAAGUGUGUGUGUGUGUGUAUGCGUGUGUGUGUGCAUGCAUGUAUGUGUGUAGUAUUUACUGCAAUUAUUUAACUCUUCAAAACAGAUGACACCUGUUAUUUCUAAGAUUCAUCUUUAAAAUAACAAGAAAUAGUGAUGAAAAGAGGGGUCUCUAGAUAUAGUUCACAAUGAUUUCUCAUCAUCCUGACCAUUACAAUCAAGGAUCCAGAAGUGUGCAUGCAGAUUUCAUUGGACAUAUUUGUGUAUUUUUGGCUGAAUUCCAGGUUCAUUGAGUCCUCAUCACUCUCCUCUCUCGCGCCCUAGACUCGGCUUCAUUUCCAGCCUCUCUGUGAAGAGCUUGAGGAUGUAAAAGGAAGAGGGCAAAGUGUGGGGUUGGAGUGGACAGAGUGCGGGGUCGGAAGAUAGGUGAGCCCUGGUCCCCUCCCCAAGUGCCUGUGCCCAGCCACCCUCUUCAGCUUUAAUUUCCUCUGAAGGUUCACUUCUAGAGUUGAUGGAAGGUCAGAAGGAAGAGCCAUCAAACUAUACCUCCUGCACUUGACUAACUGUAAGAGUAAGACAGAUGCCAGGAAGAGGAGCCCAGACUGCAGAGUGCAUGUGUGGAGGAGGGGUCCUCUUCUUGUGGAAAGAUGCCGGAGAAAGACAAAUGAAAAUAAAAUAAAUGAUUCUACCCCACAC
This is a long non-coding RNA of Macaca fascicularis (crab-eating macaque), 1495 nucleotides long. Lineage: Eukaryota; Metazoa; Chordata; Mammalia; Primates; Cercopithecidae. The record is from Ensembl.